GAGGAAGGUAGGGAUGACGUCAAGUCCUCAUGGCCUUUAUGUCCAGGGCUACACACGUGCUACAAUGGCCGGUACAAACCGCUGCAAACCCGCGAGGGUGAGCCAAUCGGAGAAAGCCGGCCUCAGUUCGGAUUGCAGUCUGCAACUCGACUGCAUGAAGCUGGAAUCGCUAGUAAUCGCGGACCAGCAUGCCGCGGUGAAUACGUUCCCGGGCCUUGUACACACCGCCCGUCACAUCACGAAAGUGGGUUGUACUAGAAGCAGGUGAGCUAACCGCAAGGAAGCAGCCUUCCAAGGUGUGAUUCAUGAUUGGGGUGAAGUCGUAACAAGGUAGCCGUAA
RNAcentral lists this ribosomal RNA (340 nucleotides) under uncultured bacterium. RNAcentral describes it as "bacterial SSU rRNA". It matches the Rfam family "Bacterial small subunit ribosomal RNA", at positions 1166 to 1505 of the family's 1533-position model. The record is from RNAcentral.